AGACGGUACCUGCAGAAGAAGCGCCGGCUAACUACGUGCCAGCAGCCGCGGUAAUACGUAGGGCGCAAGCGUUAUCCGGAUUUAUUGGGCGUAAAGAGCUCGUAGGCGGUUUGUCGCGUCUGCCGUGAAAGUCCGAGGCUCAACCUCGGAUCUGCGGUGGGUACGGGCAGACUAGAGUGAUGUAGGGGAGACUGGAAUUCCUGGUGUAGCGGUGAAAUGCGCAGAUAUCAGGAGGAACACCGAUGGCGAAGGCAGGUCUCUGGGCAUCUACUGACGCUGAGGAGCGAAAGCAUGGGGAGCGAACAGGAUUAGAUACCCUGGUAGUCCAUGCCGUAAACGUUGGGCACUAGGUGUGGGGAACAUUCCACGUUUUCCGCGCCGUAGCUAACGCAUUAAGUGCCCCGCCUGGGGAGUACGGCCGCAAGGCUAAAACUCAAAGGAAUUGACGGGGGCCCGCACAAGCGGCGGAGCAUGCGGAUUAAUUCGAUGCAACGCGAAGAACCUUACCAAGGCUUGACAUGUUCCAGACCGCCUCAGAGAUGGGGUUUCCCUUCGGGGCUGGUUCACAGGUGGUGCAUGGUUGUC
Molecule: ribosomal RNA, 585 nt
Filed under: Glutamicibacter arilaitensis
Lineage: Bacteria; Bacillati; Actinomycetota; Actinomycetes; Micrococcales; Micrococcaceae
Description: bacterial SSU rRNA
Rfam family: Bacterial small subunit ribosomal RNA
Source: RNAcentral